RNAcentral lists this ribosomal RNA (429 nucleotides) under Acidobacteriota bacterium. RNAcentral's name for it is "Acidobacteria bacterium partial 16S ribosomal RNA". It matches the Rfam family "Bacterial small subunit ribosomal RNA", at positions 355 to 776 of the family's 1533-position model. Lineage: Bacteria; Pseudomonadati; Acidobacteriota. The record is from RNAcentral.
UGUGGAAUUUUUGACAAUGGGGGCAACCCUGAUCCAGCCAUCCCGCGUGUGCGAUGAAGGCCUUCGGGUUGUAAAGCACUUUUGGCAGGAAAGAAACGUCAUGGGUUAAUACCCCGUGAAACUGACGGCACCUGCCGAAUAAGCACCGGCUAACUACGUGCCAGCAGCCGCGGUAAUACGUAGGGUGCAAGCGUUAAUCGGAAUUACUGGGCGUAAAGCGUGCGCAGGCGGUUCGGAAAGCAAGAUGUGAAAUCCCAGAGCUCAACUUUGGAACUGCAUUUUUAACUACCGGGCUAGAGGGUGUCAGAGGGAGGUGGAAUUCCGCGUGUAGCAGUGAAAUGCGUAGAUAUGCGGAGGAACACCGGUGGCGAAGGCAGCCUACUGGGAUAACACUGACGCUCAUGCACGAAAGCGUGGGGAGCAAACAGG